UUGGUGAAAAGUAAACAAAUGGGUUGCCUCCCAUUUAACGCUUUGUUUAACGUCGUUAAGCUCGCCAUUUUCCUGUCAGAUUUUUGGCUCUUCCAACCCGAUUUCUUCAAUUAGUCUGAUUGGUGUGCUCUCGAAGAAAGAUUUUAGCCGUUGUCCAUUAACUUUAAAUCGUGCACCUGAGCUAUCUUCAAUUUCCACGGCUCCAUGAGGAAAAACAUUGAUCACGGUAAAUGGUCCGCU
Molecule: long non-coding RNA, 240 nt
Filed under: Gossypium barbadense (sea-island cotton)
Lineage: Eukaryota; Viridiplantae; Streptophyta; Magnoliopsida; Malvales; Malvaceae
Description: long non-coding RNA (GBAR_LNC012754)
Source: RNAcentral